AUAUCCUGCCUGAGCCUGGGCCGGGUGGAGGUGUCCUGCAUGGAGUCUUGUGAAAUCGCGUGGACUGCAACACCCAGCAGCGCGCCGCCCUGGGUCCUGCCACUGAGCAGCUGUUGGUAGGCUCUGCUGUGAGGUCUCCUCUUCCGGCUUUCCCACUUCCCAAGGGCCUUUGCACAAGCUUUUCCCACAGCCUGCAACACCUGCCCUUCUUCCCCACACUUGGCUUGUUCCCAGAAAUUCAUCAUCCUGUCUUAAAUGUCACACUCUUCAGAGAGGCCUUCUUUAGCCCAGAUACAUAGGUUAGGUUGGCCCAUGGGCUGGAGCGUCUGCGUCUUGGUCGGCCCGGCAGUGUACAUGUCAAGCAGCGCGCAAAGACUCCACAGCCAUUCGUAGGCACUGCUGGCCUCAUGCUCCAGACAGCCCUGGGACAAUGGGCCACCAAGGGAAAUCAAUGAUUGCGUGGGCGCAGGUGACCUCCAGCCUGCUUCAGGGCCACCCUUGUUCCCCAUGCCAACUCCCUCCUUCCUAUGGGCUCCCAAGAAAUGGGUGGCAGAGACCAGCCUGGUGAUUUACCUCCUGCCUUUCCGUGACUUCCUCCCAGUCCUGUGCAUCUCAUGUUUAAUUAUGAGGCUGUGGAAGGUGGUGAUAUUAAUUAUAGGGCUGAGGUUGUGUUACUUGGAGAAAGUCAGUGCACAUGUCAUUUGAUUUUCCUCAAGAAGGAAAACUGUAUUUUUUCCGAUCUCAAAAAUAAUUCCAGGGAAAUAAAUGUGUACAAUCACACUUUGGGGUUUAAAACUAACGAGUUUCAGUUUUAAAACAUGUUAAAAACCUUUCUAUUUGGAGAAAGCUGGAAGAAUCCACUUUGGGGAUCUGGCGGUUCUCAGGAGCUGUAUUACCUCGGGAUGGUCUCACUGGUUGGUAGCAGCUUUUGUAUGAGGAGGGGCAUGGGGUCCCGACUUAGGCAGAGAAGGCUUUGCUGAAGAGGUGCAAAGCCCAGCUUAGGGCUGGGUUUUCUACAGACCAGGAACAAAAGCAUUGCUUGGCAAGAUUUCUUCUCUGCUCAGAGAAAACACGCAGAUUCCAAAGAGUGAGAUGGAGAGAAUUUGACAUGUCUUGGUUUGAAAAUAAGUCAAAAGAAGUCUAAUAUUAACAAUAGCAAUAAUAAUAACAACCAUUAAUUGUGCCUGCGUUAGGUACCAGGCCCUAUUCUAAGUGUUGUGAGUGCCCUCUGUCAUUUAAUCUCCACGGAGUCCUGAAGGUGCUUCCCAGGUUUGUCCCCAUCACACAGAUGAGGCAAUCGUUCUGUUAAGACUGUCCUUGGGUCAUUAUGUCAGCAAUGAAAUCGGUGCUGCCAUUAC
Long non-coding RNA from Homo sapiens (human), 1358 nucleotides. Ensembl annotates it as long intergenic non-protein coding RNA 2910. The record is from Ensembl. Lineage: Eukaryota; Metazoa; Chordata; Mammalia; Primates; Hominidae.